This 435-nucleotide ribosomal RNA is filed under the name uncultured bacterium. Its description in RNAcentral is "partial 16S ribosomal RNA". It matches the Rfam family "Bacterial small subunit ribosomal RNA", at positions 29 to 507 of the family's 1533-position model. The record is from RNAcentral.
AGCGAACGCUGGCGGCAGGCUUAACACAUGCAAGUCGAGCGGGCACUUUCGGGUGUCCGCGGCGGACGGGUGAGUAACGCGUGGGAACGUGCCCUCUGGUUCGGAAUAACUCAGGGAAACUUGAGCUAAUACCGGAUACGCCCUUUUGGGGAAAGGCUUGCUGCCGGAGGAUCGGCCCGCGUCUGAUUAGCUAGUUGGUGAGGUAACGGCUCACCAAGGCGACGAUCAGUAGCUGGUCUGAGAGGAUGAUCAGUCACACUGGGACUGAGACACGGCCCAGACUCCUACGGGAGGCAGCAGUGGGGAAUAUUGGACAAUGGGCGCAAGCCUGAUCCAGCCAUGCCGCGUGAGUGAUGAAGGCCUUAGGGUUGUAAAGCUCUUUUAUCCGGGACGAUAAUGACGGUACCGGAGGAAUAAGCCCCGGCUAACUUCGUG